CACUGCUAUCGGGGUUCGACUAAGCCAUGCAAGUCGAGAGGGGUCAAGCCCUCGGCGAACUGCUCAGUAACACGUGGAUAACCUGACCUAGGGUGGAGGAUAACCCCGGGAAACUGGGGAUAAUACUCCAUAGGCUACGGAAGCUGGAAUGCUCUGUAACCGAAAGUUCCGGCGCCCUAGGAUGGGUCUGCGGCCGAUUAGGUUGUUGUUGGGGUAACGGCCCAACAAGCCGAUCAUCGGUACGGGUUGUGGGAGCAAGAGCCCGGAGAUGGAUUCUGAGACAUGAAUCCAGGCCCUACGGGGCGCAGCAGGCGCGAAAACUUUACAAUGCGGGAAACCGUGAUAAGGGGACCCCGAGUGCCUGUACACGCAGGCUGUUCAGGUGUUUAAAACGCAUCUGGAGAAAGGGCCGGGCAAGACCGGUGCCAGCCGCCGCGGUAAUACCGGCGGCUCGAGUGGUGGCCACUAUUACUGGGCUUAAAGCGUCCGUAGCCGGGUUGUU
RNAcentral lists this ribosomal RNA (502 nucleotides) under uncultured archaeon. Its description in RNAcentral is "bacterial SSU rRNA". It matches the Rfam family "Archaeal small subunit ribosomal RNA", at positions 25 to 534 of the family's 1478-position model. The record is from RNAcentral.